UGUGGUAUUAAACAUCUGGUGAUUCCUUUUCAAACAGGCAUUAGCUUUCUUAGAUUUAGGGCACCACUCACAUAGAAAGACUGUUGUCCUUGUAUGCACACCAGACGAAGAACCUCCCCACCAAACUUGAAGAAGCUCGUUGCCCCUCCAUAUUAUCCAAAAAUCCAAGGCACUGGAACACCACACAACAGAGGAAAAAACCCUAGCUGCCAAAAAGAACCCUGCACAAAAAACCCGUAUCCUGAUCGCCCCCCAAACAGCCUCACAGGAACCCUACAAACAGCCCCACAACAACCAACGCACAGAAAAAGAAGAAUGCACAGACCACCAGUACAACGAAGUGACACAUAAAGGUUUUGAGAGAUAAUGUUCAGCAAUAAGGAUUGCAUCGCUUUGAAAGAAAUUUUUUCUCACAUCUACCCAUCUCAGUUUUUUCCCGAGACACUUAAUUUAUGUUUACCCUCUCACUCUGACUAUUUAGCUUCUGGGUGGGGACAAUCUUAUUCGUAAUAGAAGACUGCAUUUUGGGAUUUAGUUGUAGUAAGCGCAGCUCAUAUGGAUUUGAUUUCGCACUGUU
Molecule: long non-coding RNA, 577 nt
Organism: Cryptomeria japonica (Japanese cedar)
Lineage: Eukaryota; Viridiplantae; Streptophyta; Pinopsida; Cupressales; Cupressaceae
Exons: 3
Source: RefSeq, a predicted model, not a curated record